UGGGCCCUUUUCACAUCAAAAGUGUAUUAUUAUGUCUGUCCUUCUAUAGACUCUUCAUCAUUGACUAGGAUAGAAUAUGAUUUUUUUUUCUAACACACCUUAAAUUUUUAAAUUUAGUGUCCUUUUGUUACCAGCAUCUUCCACUGUUCAAACAAAGCUGUUUCUUAUGUAGGAAAUUCUAAAUGGCAGCUGGGAACUGUCCAUAGAUGAAACUUGGGUGAAUAAUCAGGUGGUGGCUGCUGAUGCAUUUGAACUUGGGCCAAGUCAGAGAGGAGGGUUCCUUGGGGUAGUGUUGUCCUCUACAUUUCCCCAUCCUGGACCAUAGCCUUUUUGACCUCACCUUAGCUAUGCAUUUGUUAUCAGGACAAUGAGUUGACAAGGGAGAAAAGAAUGGCUGAGGGCUGGUUCAGAAAUACAUGCUUUGAAAAAAAAGUUCAGAUGCCCAAAUAGCAGGGAAUCCAUUUAUAAUCACUUUCCUCCCAAUGGUUCUAUGCUGUCAGUAGUACCUUUAGAGCAUGAUUAUUUUUUCCAUAUUACAGAGGAUAAGUUGAAGCUCCCAGAAGGAUUUCCUUUGCUCCAGGACACUCAGCUGGUAAGCAGGAGAGUUCUGAUUCAACAAUCAGCAGAAUGUAUAACUUGGAUAAUAAAGCAUCCCAUGGAAGGACCUGGAUGGAAUCUUGGAUCUGUCAACUAUUUGCUGUAUGACCUUAGGAAUGAAUUUCUGGCCUCCUCUUGUUCUGACUUUCUCAUAGCAGGGACGUGAGGACAAAGAAACCCUAACUGAGCUUUCUUGGGAAAGAUGAACCCUUCUUUCUUCAAUACAGACUUAUCUUAGUUCUCAGAAAGGCAUCCAGUGUUGGGUAAAGGAGCAGGAAAUGGGAAAACAUCUGCCUAAAAAAGCCAGAGACAAAUUCAAUAUUUGAGACUCCAGGCUGCUCAGACAGUUCAAUGGGGACCCUGAGA
This 963-nucleotide long non-coding RNA is filed under the name Monodelphis domestica (gray short-tailed opossum). RNAcentral's name for it is "lncRNA (ENSMODG00000037953.1)". The record is from RNAcentral. Lineage: Eukaryota; Metazoa; Chordata; Mammalia; Didelphimorphia; Didelphidae.